GGGUCAGUAGGUCGGUCGUGCCACCGGUACGUACUGGUCUCACUGAUUCCUCCUUCCUGAAGAACCGUAAUGCCAUUAAUUUGGUGUUGCGGGGAAACAGGACUGUUACUUUGAAAAAAUUAGAGUGUUUAAAGCAAGCUAGCGCUUGAAUACAUUAGCAUGGAAUAAUGAAAUAGGACGAUCGAUCCUAUUUUGUUGGUUUCUAGGAUUGACGUA
RNAcentral lists this ribosomal RNA (216 nucleotides) under Glomeromycotina sp. Its description in RNAcentral is "partial small subunit ribosomal RNA". The stretch from base 40 to 216 matches the Rfam family "Eukaryotic small subunit ribosomal RNA", at positions 686 to 864 of the family's 1831-position model. Lineage: Eukaryota; Fungi; Glomeromycota. The record is from RNAcentral.